RNAcentral lists this ribosomal RNA (410 nucleotides) under uncultured Anaeromyxobacter sp. Its description in RNAcentral is "bacterial SSU rRNA". It matches the Rfam family "Bacterial small subunit ribosomal RNA", at positions 355 to 774 of the family's 1533-position model. Lineage: Bacteria; Pseudomonadati; Myxococcota; Myxococcia; Myxococcales; Anaeromyxobacteraceae. The record is from RNAcentral.
UGGGGAAUCUUGCGCAAUGGGCGAAAGCCUGACGCAGCGACGCCGCGUGUGCGAUGAAGGUCUUCGGAUCGUAAAGCACUGUCGCGAGGGAAAAAACCGCAAGGUUGAUGGUACCUCGAAAGGAAGCACCGGCUAACUCUGUGCCAGCAGCCGCGGUAAUACAGAGGGUGCGAGCGUUGUUCGGAAUUAUUGGGCGUAAAGCGCUUGUAGGCGGCUUGUUAAGUCGCGUGUGAAAUCUCCCGGCUCAACCGGGAAAGUGCGCGCGAAACUGGCGAGCUUGAGUGCUGGAGAGGGUGGCGGAAUUCCCGGUGUAGAGGUGAAAUUCGUAGAUAUCGGGAGGAACACCAGAGGCGAAGGCGGCCACCUGGACAGACACUGACGCUGAGAAGCGAAAGCGUGGGGAGCAAACA